Molecule: long non-coding RNA, 395 nt
Filed under: Pelobates cultripes (western spadefoot toad)
Lineage: Eukaryota; Metazoa; Chordata; Amphibia; Anura; Pelobatidae
Source: RNAcentral
GGUGUUGGUUACAGCUGCCCUGCCCUAUAAAAAACACACACCAGUUCUGGGUUUGCUUUUCACAAGAAGCAUUGCCUGAUGUGAAUGAUGACUCGCACAAAAGAGCUCUCAGAAGACCUACGAUUAAGAAUUGUUGACUUGCAUAAAGCUGGAAAGGGUUAUAAAAGUAUCUCCAAAAGCCUUGCUGUUCAUCAGUCCACGGUAAGACAAAUUGUCUAUAAAUGGAGAAAGUUCAGCACUGCUGCUACUCUCCCUAGGAGUGGCCGUCCUGUAAAGAUGACUGCAAGAGCACAGCGCAGACUGCUCAAUGAGUUGAAGAAGAAUCCUAGAGUGUCAGCUAAAGACUUACAAAAGUCACUGGCAAAUGCUAACAUCCCUGUUAGCGAAUCUACAAU